Molecule: RNA transcript, 1897 nt
Organism: Glycine soja
Lineage: Eukaryota; Viridiplantae; Streptophyta; Magnoliopsida; Fabales; Fabaceae
Exons: 4
Source: RefSeq, a predicted model, not a curated record
AAAUUGACUGUGUUUAACGUGGACUGAUUUAUUUUCUACCAUUAAAAAUAUCCCUUAGAUUAAUCAAUAGUCUAUUUUCUUAUCAUGGACUUUAAACACCAAAUCCUUGCUCCUUUCUUGCCGGCGAUGCUUGUCCACCGUGCGCCUCCGCCGGAGAUAUAUUCGGCAGCGGACCCGCAACCGGAGACGAUUUUCGAUGGCGGCACCGCCACUUAAAUUUUUCUCUCCGUUUUUUUUUUUCCAUUCCCUUCCUCUUCUCUGCUCCUCCCUCAAGCCUUUGUUCUGCAACAUUUUAUUUCUCCUCCUUCGUUGACAACGGCUAGUUCUACGAUACCAGCCUCCCUCACUGUCAGUCUAGAUCGAAAUCAAGUUCAAGGACGAACGUGUAGACACACCGCUUGCUCCUCCCUCAACACUUCCGCACAUUGUCAGCAAAGGCACCGCAGAUUUGAUCGUCGGUGGCGUGAUUAGCAGAUCUGGAUAGCCAUGUAACGCGAUGUUUUUCGCAGUUUUUGGUGUUUUUUUUUUGUUUAACUGAUUCUUAAGCUUUUAGUCCCCGAGACUCACUCUGUUUCACUAUUUCUGGACUUUUUGGAUUGUUUGUUUUUUCGUUACUUUGUCAAUUUUUGCUUUGCUUGUCUCUGAUUUUUAUCGUAGAUCGCCAUCCAUUUUUUCUUCUUUAUUUUUUGGCACGGAGAUUGUUGGUUUGGGUGGAGAUAGUCAAAGAAAGAGAAGAAGGAAGAGGAUAGGAGAAGAAAGGGUGGAAGGGGGGGGGGGGGGGGGAUACAACAAGAGAGUCACCGUCGUCGGAAGUCAUGGUGGUUACCAGUCGAAAUUUGAGGAGCCGAGGAGCGAGAGAGAAAGAAGAAAAACAUUUGGUACAACAUGCCUACCAAAUUACUGUGUACCUGAGAUAAAUCUAACCGUAUAAAAAAGGCAAAAUUACAUUUUUUUCCCCUUCUCUACAAUUUCGAUUUUAGUGUUUUUAAAUUUAUUUACGAACUUAAUUUCCCAAUUAUUUCAAAUAGUGUGGUGAAAUGGUGAUAAGAUAGAGCAUAGAGGAGACGUGGGACAUGAAUUGCAUUGAAAUAUCUUGCAUUUGCAGGAAACGGCAACUUUCUGACUGUUUGGUUUUGUGCGGAUAUUUUUAAAAUUGCCUGAAGGUUAGUCUUUUCAUUUGCCAAUUUAUCUGCACAUUUCGUGUCUCUGAAUAUUUGAAGGUAUUGCUUGGCCCAUGCUUUGAUUUAAAUCAUUUUGGUGACACACAGUCAGAAAUAUUUUGUGAGGAUGAAUAGAAAAUUUGGAGGUGGAAAGCAGCCAACAGGGACUCCUUCACUGGCUUGGUCCUGCGUGGUUGUUGUCUUCUCUCUUCUUGCUGGUGCCUCUGUUGUUCACAAUAUCUAUAAGCCUAAUCUUACAUUGCCUCCUGUUGAUGGAGUUGAUAGCACCAAGCAGAAACAUGAUGAAAAAGAAUGAUCAUCUCCCCUGCUGAAUUCCUUUUCAUUAUCGUGAAGCCUUGCAUUACAAGGACUUGACAGAGCAUAUUCAGUUAGGAUCGAAGAUGUUCUUAGUGCUGGACAACUAUUUGUGGUUGGCUAGUUGUAUAAUCGGGCCCCAAGUAGCAUUAGGGCUUAUUUUAUUGUAAAGUGGAUACUGAAUUGAAAGUUAAUCUUAGAAAAGGUUGCAUAUCCUAAUGAGAUGGUAUCCAUAGAUGUUUUCAUUGUUGCCACUCCAUAAUUAGAGGAAAGAGGUGUUUUAUCUUUUUGUUGUCCAAUACUUUUUACACGUUGGAGAGAAAGAAUAGGCUGUUACUCACCUAUUGACUCGAGCAAAUUCCACUCCUUUUCAGAGUAACACAAUUGGUUAAAUAUGUAUAAAUUCUGUUUUACCUGCGCUA